CCGCCUUCUUGGGAGCAUCUUUCUCUGACUUAUUUUCUUUCUUUUGCUUCUUCGCAGGUUUGUUAUUCUUCUUUCAAGUAGAUUUUCUCUUGAAAGUAGAUGCCUGCUCCACAGUAAGAAUAGUGCCCCUUGAACUUUUUAAGGUCCCCUCAAUGGUCACCAAUAAAUUCAGUAAUUCAGAUAAAGUACUAUCAAUCUUAUUCAC
Molecule: long non-coding RNA, 205 nt
Filed under: Elaeis guineensis (African oil palm)
Lineage: Eukaryota; Viridiplantae; Streptophyta; Magnoliopsida; Arecales; Arecaceae
Description: long non-coding RNA (EGUI_LNC045461)
Source: RNAcentral